GACGAACGCUGGCGGCGUGCUUAACGCAUGCAAGUCGAACGGAAAGGCCCUGCUUUUGUGGGGUGCUCGAGUGGCGAACGGGUGAGUAACACGUGAGUAACCUGCCCUUGACUUUGGGAUAACUUCAGGAAACUGGGGCUAAUACCGGAUAGGAGCUCCUGCUGCAUGGUGGGGGUUGGAAAGUUUCGGCGGUUGGGGAUGGACUCGCGGCUUAUCAGCUUGUUGGUGGGGUAGUGGCUUACCAAGGCUUUGACGGGUAGCCGGCCUGAGAGGGUGACCGGCCACAUUGGGACUGAGAUACGGCCCAGACUCCUACGGGAGGCAGCAGUGGGGAAUAUUGCACAAUGGGCGGAAGCCUGAUGCAGCAACGCCGCGUGCGGGAUGACGGCCUUCGGGUUGUAAACCGCUUUCGCCUGUGACGAAGCGUGAGUGACGGUGAUGGGUAAAGAAGCACCGGCUAACUACGUG
RNAcentral lists this ribosomal RNA (468 nucleotides) under uncultured bacterium. Its description in RNAcentral is "partial 16S ribosomal RNA". It matches the Rfam family "Bacterial small subunit ribosomal RNA", at positions 28 to 507 of the family's 1533-position model. The record is from RNAcentral.